GUAGUCAUAUGCUUGUCUCAAAGAUUAAGCCAUGCAUGUCUAAGUAUAAGCAAUUAUACAGCGAAACUGCGAAUGGCUCAUUAUAUAAGUUAUCGUUUAUUUGAUAGUACCUUACUACUUGGAUAACCGUGGUAAUUCUAGAGCUAAUACAUGCUAAAAAUCCCGACUUCGGAAGGGAUGUAUUUAUUAGAUUAAAAACCAAUGCCCUCUGGGCUCCUUGGUGAUUCAUAAUAACUUUUCGAAUCGCACGGCCUUGCGCCGGCGAUGGUUCAUUCAAAUUUCUUCCCUAUCAACUUUCGAUGUUUGGGUCUUGGCCAAACAUGGUCGCAACGGGUAACGGAGGGUUAGGGCUCGACCCCGGAGAAGGAGCCUGAGAAACGGCUACUACAUCCAAGGAAGGCAGCAGGCGCGCAAAUUACCCAAUCCCGAUUCGGGGAGGUAGUGACAAUAAAUACUGAUACAGGGCUCUUUUGGGUCUUGUAAUUGGAAUGAGUACAAUUUAAAUCUCUUAACGAGGAACAAUUGGAGGGCAAGUCUGGUGCCAGCAGCCGCGGUAAUUCCAGCUCCAAUAGCGUAUAUUAAAGUUGUUGUGGUUAAAAAGCUCGUAGUUGAACCUUGGGCCUGGCUGGCCGGUCCGCCUCACCGCGUGCACUGGUCCGGCCGGGCCUUUCCCUCUGUGGAACCCCAUGCUCUUCACUGAGUGUGGCGGUGAAACAGGACUUUUACUUUGAAAAAAUUAGAGUGCUCCAGGCAGGCCUAUGCUCGAAUACAUUAGCAUGGAAUAAUAAAAUAGGACGCGUGGUUCUAUUUUGUUGGUUUCUAGGACCGCCGUAAUGAUUAAUAGGGACAGUCGGGGGCAUCAGUAUUCAAUUGUCAGAGGUGAAAUUCUUGGAUUUAUUGAAGACUAACUACUGCGAAAGCAUUUGCCAAGGAUGUUUUCAUUAAUCAGAACGAAAGUUAGGGAUCGAAGACGAUCAGAUACCGUCGUAGUCUUAACCAUUAACUAUGCCGACUAGGGAUCGGACGAUGUUAUUUUUUUGACGCGUUCGGCACUUACGAGAAUCAAGUGCUUGGCUCCAAGGGGGAGUAUGGUCGCAAGGCUGAAACUUAAAGAAAUUGACGGAAGGGCACCACCAGGGGUAAACCGCUUCGCGCAGCCGCAGUAGCUCUGCCCCAGAAAGCAGCCCGAAAGGGUCAGUGGUGUUCCUGCCAGCGCUCCGGCGCGGCGAACUAAUUGCUAGUCUCCUCUGGAGGCGACACCCUCAAAUUGCGGGAAAAUCCUAAAGCCAGUGUCACCAAGCCGGCGCCGAAAGGGCGUCGGUGGCCGGGGUAGCGACCUAGGGUACGGUAAAAGCACACUGGAUAAUGCAAUGGACGAUCCGCAGCCAAGCCUCGUCGCCGCAGGGCACGGGGAAGGUUCAGAGACUACAUGGGGGUGGGUAGUGCACUGUCUGGGGGCUCCGGCCCCCGAGCGCCCGCUCACAACACUGCUUAAGAUAUAGUCCGGCCGUGCUGGAAACAGCACGGGCUGGCAAACCCAGAAACGGGAGCCUGCGGCUUAAUUUGACUCAACACGGGGAAACUCACCAGGUCCAGACACAAUGAGGAUUGACAGAUUGAGAGCUCUUUCUUGAUUUUGUGGGUGGUGGUGCAUGGCCGUUCUUAGUUGGUGGAGUGAUUUGUCUGCUUAAUUGCGAUAACGAACGAGACCUUAACCUGCUAAAUAGCCUGUAUUGCUUUGGCAGUACGCUGGCUUCUUAGAGGGACUAUCGGCUCAAGCCGAUGGAAGUUUGAGGCAAUAACAGGUCUGUGAUGCCCUUAGAUGUUCUGGGCCGCACGCGCGCUACACUGACGGAGCCAGCGAGUACUUCCUUGGUCGAAAGGCUCGGGUAAUCUUGUUAAACUCCGUCGUGCUGGGGAUAGAGCAUUGCAAUUAUUGCUCUUCAACGAGGAAUCCCUAGUAAGCGCAAGUCAUCAGCUUGCGUUGAUUACGUCCCUGCCCUUUGUACACACCGCCCGUCGCUACUACCGAUCGAAUGGCUCAGUGAGGCGUCCGGACUGGCCCAGGGAGGUGGGCAACUACCCCCCCGGGCCGGGAAGCUCUCCAAACUCGGUCAUUUAGAGGAAGUAAAAGUCGUAACAAGGUCUCCGUAGGUGAACCUGCGGAGGGAUCAUUAACGAGUUUUCCAACUCCCAACCCUUUGUGAACAUACCUAUCGUUGCUUCGGCGGACUCGCCCAGCGCCUGGACGCGGGCCUGGGCGGCGGCCGUCGGGGGCCCCAAACACUGUAUCUACCAGUUUUUCUGAAUCCGCCGCAAGGCAAAACAAAUGAAUCAAAACUUUCAACAACGGAUCUCUUGGCUCUGGCAUCGAUGAAGAACGCAGCGAAAUGCGAUAAGUAAUGUGAAUUGCAGAAUUCAGUGAAUCAUCGAAUCUUUGAACGCACAUUGCGCCCGCCAGCAUUCUGGCGGGCAUGCCUGUUCGAGCGUCAUUUCAACCCUCGACGUCCCCUGGGGGAUGUCGGCGUUGGGGACCGGCAGCACACCGCCGCCCCCGAAAUGAAGUGGCGGCCCGUCCGCGGCGACCUCUGCGUAGUACUCCAACUCGCACCGGGAACCCGACGUGGCCACGCCGUAAAACGCCCAACUCUGAACGUUGACCUCGGAUCAGGUAGGAAUACCCGCUGAACUUAAGCAUAUCAAUAAGCGGAGGAAAAGAAACCAACAGGGAUUGCCCUAGUAACGGCGAGUGAAGCGGCAACAGCUCAAAUUUGAAAUCUGGCCCCCGGGUCCGAGUUGUAAUUUGUAGAGGAUGCUUUUGGCGAGGUGCCUUCCGAGUUCCCUGGAACGGGACGCCAUAGAGGGUGAGAGCCCCGUCUGGUCGGACACCGAGCCUCUGUAAAGCUCCUUCGACGAGUCGAGUAGUUUGGGAAUGCUGCUCAAAAUGGGAGGUAUAUGUCUUCUAAAGCUAAAUAUUGGCCAGAGACCGAUAGCGCACAAGUAGAGUGAUCGAAAGAUGAAAAGCACUUUGAAAAGAGGGUUAAAAAGUACGUGAAAUUGUUGAAAGGGAAGCGCCUAUGACCAGACUUGGGCCCGGUGAAUCACCCAGCGUUCUCGCUGGUGCACUUCGCCGGGCACAGGCCAGCAUCAGUUUGGCGCGGGGGAGAAAGGCUUCGGGAAUGUGGCUCCCCUGGGAGUGUUAUAGCCCGUUGCGCAAUACCCUGCGCUGGACUGAGGUACGCGCAUUCGCAAGGAUGCUGGCGUAAUGGUCAUCAGCGACCCGUCUUGAAACACGGACCAAGGAGUCGUCUUCGUAUGCGAGUGUUCGGGUGUCAAACCCCUACGCGUAAUGAAAGUGAACGCAGGUGAGAGCUUCGGCGCAUCAUCGACCGAUCCUGAUGUUCUCGGAUGGAUUUGAGUAAGAGCAUACGGGGCCGGACCCGAAAGAAGGUGAACUAUGCCUGUAUAGGGUGAAGCCAGAGGAAACUCUGGUGGAGGCCCGCAGCGGUUCUGACGUGCGAAUCGAUCGUCAAAUAUGGGCAUGGGGGCGAAAGACUAAUCGAACCUUCUAGUAGCUGGUUUCCGCCGAAGUUUCCCUCAGGAUAGCAGUGUUGAACUCAGUUUUAUGAGGUAAAGCGAAUGAUUAGGGACUCGGGGGCGCUAUAUUGCCUUCAUCCAUUCUCAAACUUUAAAUAUGUAAGAAGCCCUUGUUACUUGAUUGAACGUGGGCAUUCGAAUGUAUCAACACUAGUGGGCCAUUUUUGGUAAGCAGAACUGGCGAUGCGGGAUGAACCGAACGCGAGGUUAAGGUGCCGGAGUGGACGCUCAUCAGACACCACAAAAGGUGUUAGUACAUCUUGACAGCAGGACGGUGGCCAUGGAAGUCGGAAUCCGCUAAGGACUGUGUAACAACUCACCUGCCGAAUGUACUAGCCCUGAAAAUGGAUGGCGCUCAAGCGUCCCACCCAUACCUCGCCCUCAGGGUAGAAACGAAGCCCUGAGGAGUAGGCGGACGUGGAGGUCAGUGACGAAGCCUAGGGCGCGAGCCCGGGUCGAACGGCCUCUAGUGCAGAUCUUGGUGGUAGUAGCAAAUACUUCAAUGAGAACUUGAAGGACCGAAGUGGAGAAAGGUUCCAUGUGAACAGCAGUUGGACAUGGGUUAGUCGAUCCUAAGUCAUAGGGAAGUUCCGUUUCAAAGGCGCACUCUGCGCCGUGUGGCGAAAGGGAAGCCGGUUAACAUUCCGGCACCUGAAUGUGGGUUUUGCGCGGCAACGCAACUGAACGCGGAGACGACGGCGGGAGCCCCGAGCAGAGUUCUCUUUUCUUCUUAACGGUUUAUCACCCUGAAAUCGGUUUAUCCGGAGCUAGGGUUUAAUGGCCGGAAGAGCCCAGCACCUCUGCUGGGUUCGGUGCGCUCUCGACGUCCCUUGAAAAUCCGCGGGAAGGAAUAAUUCUCACGUCAGGUCGUACUCAUAACCGCAGCAGGUCUCCAAGGU
RNAcentral lists this ribosomal RNA (4496 nucleotides) under Cordyceps taishanensis. RNAcentral describes it as "eukaryotic LSU rRNA". The stretch from base 2658 to 4496 matches the Rfam family "Eukaryotic large subunit ribosomal RNA", at positions 1 to 1873 of the family's 3401-position model. Lineage: Eukaryota; Fungi; Ascomycota; Sordariomycetes; Hypocreales; Cordycipitaceae. The record is from RNAcentral.